Long non-coding RNA from Triticum aestivum (bread wheat), 457 nucleotides. RefSeq lists it as uncharacterized. The record is from RefSeq and is a predicted model, not a curated record. The transcript has 4 exons. Lineage: Eukaryota; Viridiplantae; Streptophyta; Magnoliopsida; Poales; Poaceae.
CGCUGACAGGGCCUACCGCUCAACAUCCUCCUGUUGCUGACUUUGGUCUGGCCAAGAUCCAGCACGAAGACGACACAGCCAUGUGUCUACGCUGGUGAUGGGGACUUUCGGGAAGAAGAAGGUUGUUCACAAGAAGAUGGCAGGAAGAAGCAGGCUGAUUCCAUUCGAUCCUCAAGGACAAAGAAGUUGGAAGAAGCAUAGUUCUAGCUCAUUGGAGCUAGUUUUGGGAGUAAUGAAGCACUUUAGGAUGAUCCUAUUUGUAUGUGUGUUAUAUGAUGUAGACUCUACACUUGUAGACUCAUGUGGUAGACUCAUGUGGUAGACUGUACACUUGUAGGGCUCAUGUGAUAAUCAUGUGGUAGACUGUACACUUGUAGAGUUGUUAUCCAAUUGUAAACUUGAUGCUGAUCACAUUGUACGUAUGUUAUAUGAUGUAGCAGAUUGCUUCUUGCUGUUA